GUGAGGAAUAUUGGUCAAUGGGCGAGAGCCUGAACCAGCCAAGUCGCGUGAAGGAAGAAGGUUCUAUGGAUUGUAAACUUCUUUUGUAAGGGAAUAAAAAGAGUUACGUGUAACUUAUUGUAUGUACUUUACGAAUAAGGAUCGGCUAACUCCGUGCCAGCAGCCGCGGUAAUACGGAGGAUCCAAGCGUUAUCCGGAUUUAUUGGGUUUAAAGGGUGCGUAGGCGGGCCCUUAAGUCAGUGGUGAAAGUUUGCAGCUUAACUGUAAAAUUGCCAUUGAAACUGAGGGUCUUGAGUGUAAAUAAGGUAGGCGGAAUGUGUUGUGUAGCGGUGAAAUGCUUAGAUAUAACACAGAACACCAAUUGCGAAGGCAGCUUACUGGGAUACAACUGACGCUGAGGCACGAAAGCGUGGGGAUCAAACAGG
This 425-nucleotide ribosomal RNA is filed under the name uncultured bacterium. RNAcentral describes it as "bacterial SSU rRNA". It matches the Rfam family "Bacterial small subunit ribosomal RNA", at positions 354 to 776 of the family's 1533-position model. The record is from RNAcentral.